This is a long non-coding RNA of Drosophila ananassae, 349 nucleotides long. RefSeq lists it as uncharacterized. NCBI's taxonomy places the organism in Eukaryota, Metazoa, Arthropoda, Insecta, Diptera, Drosophilidae. The transcript is spliced from 2 exons. The record is from RefSeq and is a predicted model, not a curated record.
UUAAAACUCUCACUUCGUUUCUGAUUUUUGGAGUGGUUACAAGCCAAAGCUUUCAUAAAAUGAUUAAAUACAUUUUCUUUACAAUAACUUUCCUCAUAUUUGCUUCCGUUUGUCAUGGUCAAGGCAAUGAAAAAUGCGAUUCUCCUCCUAGUGAGACGGGUCUCUGCAGAGGAUAUUUUCCAAGUUACACUUACCAGUCGCUAUCGAACACAUGCGAAUAUUUUGUAUACGGAGGUUGCGGCGCCACGGAAAAUAUUUUCCGAACCAUAGAGGACUGCAUACAAACGUGUGUAAAGAAUUGAAUCGUGGAUAAGCCUAAAUAAAUAACAAAUAAAAUCCAUUUAUAUUA